UUUAAGUGGGCGUGUUUCCUAAAUCAGCAGUAGUCGUUAAUCAGCUGACGGGUGAACAGGUUGUGUGAGAAUCUGCCGAGCUGGUGUGUGGCGUACUGGAGACAGUGGUUUAUUUUACAGAAACACAGAGGGAUCCUUGAGCUAACUUGUUGAAGCAGACAUGGAGAGCGACUCUGUAACACACAGUGGUGAAGAUACUACUCCAGAUGACUGGAUGGCUAUGGUUGUAGACAGUCCAGAUGGAAGUCCUGCUGCCAGUCCUGCUGCUACACAGAAA
Molecule: long non-coding RNA, 277 nt
Organism: Pundamilia nyererei
Lineage: Eukaryota; Metazoa; Chordata; Actinopteri; Cichliformes; Cichlidae
Exons: 3
Source: RefSeq, a predicted model, not a curated record